AUUGAACGCUGGCGGCAGGCCUAACACAUGCAAGUCGAACGAGUGGCGGACGGGUGAGUAAUGUCUGGGAAACUGCCCGAUGGCGGGGAUUAACUACUGGAAACGGUAGCUAAUACCGCAUACCCUCGAAUGUUCCCAGAUGGGAUUAGGUGGUAGGUGGGGUAACGGCUCACCUGGGAGACGAUCCCUAGCUGGUCUGAGAGGAGUACCAGCCAAACUGGAACUGAGACACGGUCCAGACUCCUACGGGAGGCAGCAGUGGGGAAUAGUGCACAAUGGGCGCAAGCCGAAUGCAGCCAUGCCGCGUGUAUGAAGAAGGCCUUCGGGUUGUAAAGUACUUUCAGCGAGGAGGCGUUACUCGCAGAAGAAGCACCGGCUAACUCCGUGCCAGCAGCCGCGGUAAUAC
RNAcentral lists this ribosomal RNA (406 nucleotides) under uncultured bacterium. RNAcentral describes it as "partial 16S ribosomal RNA". It matches the Rfam family "Bacterial small subunit ribosomal RNA", at positions 30 to 526 of the family's 1533-position model. The record is from RNAcentral.